GAUGAACGCUGGCGGCGUGCCUAAUACAUGCAAGUCGAGCGGAGAAUUUAGCAAUAGAUUCUUAGCGGCGAACGGGUGAGUAACGCGUUGGUGACCUGCCUCGAAGUUUGGGAUAACAGUUCGAAAGGACUGCUAAUACCGGAUGUGAUCACGAAGAUUAGAGGCUUUGUGAUUAAAGGAGAAAUUCGCUUCGAGAGGGGCCUGCGUCCCAUCAGCUAGUUGGUAAGGUAAAGGCUUACCAAGGCGAUGACGGGUAGGGGACCUGAGAGGGUGGCCCCCCACAAUGGAACUGAAACACGGUCCAUACACCUACGGGUGGCAGCAGUAGGGAAUAUUGCAUAAUGGGCGAAAGCCUGAUGCAGCAACGCCGCGUGUGCGAUGAAGGCCUUCGGGUCGUAAAGCACUUUGGUAGGGGAUGAGGAAGGACAGUACCUUCGAAUAAGCUUCGGCUAACUAACGUGCCAGCAGCCGC
RNAcentral lists this ribosomal RNA (472 nucleotides) under uncultured bacterium. RNAcentral describes it as "bacterial SSU rRNA". It matches the Rfam family "Bacterial small subunit ribosomal RNA", at positions 28 to 518 of the family's 1533-position model. The record is from RNAcentral.